This 66-nucleotide transfer RNA is filed under the name Oberthueria caeca. RNAcentral's name for it is "tRNA-Met". Lineage: Eukaryota; Metazoa; Arthropoda; Insecta; Lepidoptera; Endromidae. The record is from RNAcentral. RNAcentral also lists the same sequence under 2 other names.
UUAAAAAUAAGCUAAAUAAAGCUUUUGGGCUCAUACCUCAAAUAUAAAGAUUUCUCUUUUUUUUAA